Non-coding RNA from Coffea arabica (coffee), 324 nucleotides. The record is from RefSeq and is a predicted model, not a curated record. NCBI's taxonomy places the organism in Eukaryota, Viridiplantae, Streptophyta, Magnoliopsida, Gentianales, Rubiaceae.
AGGAAAACUAUAAGAAACAUCUCUUCUACUUUUGUUAAGUUUCAAUCUAAAAGAUUCUUGAUUUUUCUAUGGAAAGUAAAUUAAUAGUAUAUUAGAUAUACUUCAAUGACUAUAAGCUUAAAAACUAAGUAGAAACUCAUAGUUUCAAAUUUUGGUUUUUAGGAUAUUUCGAGGACGCGGAAUUCGAUUCCCAACUUGAUAUCUGAACUCCACUCUUGGAUGGGAAGUUUGAAAGCAUUUGAGCAGCUUAUAUUUCCUAUGAAUGUACUUGAACAACUUGAAUUUAAAUUUCGGUUUGUAAUGAAUUCUACGUUAAGCACUGUA